Long non-coding RNA from Equus caballus (horse), 1908 nucleotides. The record is from Ensembl. NCBI's taxonomy places the organism in Eukaryota, Metazoa, Chordata, Mammalia, Perissodactyla, Equidae.
GAGAGGCUAUAUGGGAUGCUGUCUCUGAGGGCUGGCCCUGGGACCACACUGCCUGAGUUUGAAUCUGGCUCCACCAUUUAUUAGUGUGUGAUUUGGGAAAAAGCAAAAUGCACUUUCGUCUUUGCCUCCAAAAGUAAUAAAGAAAAUUGUCGUAAAUGGGAUCCAGAUGAACAAGGUUCCCUGUGGGAACAAAAGAGUCUCAGUCGACAGACAGAGAGAAGCAGGAUCUGCGACCCUCCGCUGCGCGUCUGUCAUACGCGGGAUUUGUAUGCAGAGAGGAAAAGAAUUGCUGAAUAGGAUUACUACUCCGAAGGGGAAAACAAAAGAAGUUUAACAAUCAAUGCAUGAAAGAGAGCAAGCAAACCUCUCCACGGAGGUCGAAGAGAAAGAAAAGAGUUUCUUACUGAAUAAGCGCUAAACCAGAAUGUGAUGCUCAUCACAGGCCAUCUGCUAAGAGAUUGCAAAGACACAAAGAAACCUCCCUCAUCGACAGACAUGUGGCUACUACCCGCCAGGAGCUGGUUUUGCAACUUGGAGCCGAAGUUAGGGUCCUACCCUCCCACAGAAACUAGGAGACGGGGCACAGCUUCCCCGAUGAUUACAUUUCAAAGAGAUGGGUCCCGGGUCCUUGAGAAAGACACACCUGGGUGGUAAAGCUGGCAAGAGGCUUAUUUAGCUUUUGAGAAGAUUUACAUACAUUUCAAGGAGACAGAGAAAGCACUUCCAUUUCAAGUUUUCUAAAGUCACGAGUGCUUACUCACGGUGGAGGACUUGAGAGCUGGGAGGCCAGCGGGCUGGAGCUCAGUGAAGCCACAGAGCCGAGUUGCGGAUCACCAGACAUGGCAAGGAGGACCAGGGCAUCCAGGAGGACCACUGCUGGGGCUUUGCUGCGUCCUGGCAGGGGUCAUCCUUGGGGAAGUUCAGUCUGCUCAAUUCCGGGAGUUUGGGAAUGGCUUGGAGAAGACUUUGGCAUGAAAAGAGCUUUUCCUCUUAGAAAAGUUGAACCAAGUUGGUUAAUAAAGUUACCCAAUGUCGUUCCGAUCAAAAGGGUCCAAAUUAUGCCUCAGUCCUGCGGCCAUAGCUGCACUGAGGGGUGGCGUGAAACUGCUUGUGGGAGGCACGUAGAUAGGAAUCAUUACCGUUUAUUGACUGCUUGCUGAGAGCCAGGCUCUCUGCAGAACCUUUACUUCAGGAUCUUAUUUAUUAAGACGCACAAUGUUCUCCAGAGGAGACAGGUCUCUUCCUGUUUGGGAACAAUCAGGAGAGAGAAAAAUUCAACCCAGGGCAGGUCUCAGUGCCAAGAGGAGCUGUCCUAGUGAGAUGACCUCCUCUUCCACAGUGCAGGUCCCCCGGACAGGAAAGACCCUGCCCUCUCAGGCACCCCACGUCUUGGUCUCCUCCACCCACCCAGUGCCAGGGAAGCCAGUCCGUCUCCAACCCAGGCUGCCCUUGCUUUAGGAGGGAUGGCUUGCUGAGCACUGCGCUAUGAGCUUAUUGUUACAUUAACUCAUUCAUCCUCACCAUAAUCCUAUGAGGGAGGAUAGUAUUUUUGUCCCUAUUUUACAGAUGAGGACAAUGAGGCACGGAGGGGAUGAAGAAUUGCCCAGGAUCCCACAACUAGAGGCUGACAGAGACGAGUUCUACCCGUGUUCAGUCUUCGUCUCCCUGCUACAGUAUCCUGCCAAGGUUCCAACUCAAUUUACACGAUUCCACCCUUUGGCUUCACAGCUGGGUGACUGGACUCAGGCGGGGUUAAGAGGGUCUGAAGAAUUGUGGGAAGGUGUCUUAUCCUGCAAAAUUGAUCAAUAAACAGGCAAAAAGCAAUCAGGAUUGUAGAAUGGGUUAGUUGGCUAGGCCUGCCGUAACAGACUGAGUGGCUUAAAUAAAUUUAUAGUCUUACAAUUCCGG